GCUGGUGUAGCUCAGUUGGCAGAGCAGCGCACUCGUAAUGCGCAGGUCGUCGGUUCGACUCCGACCACCAGCUC
This 74-nucleotide transfer RNA is filed under the name candidate division BRC1 bacterium ADurb.Bin183. RNAcentral describes it as "tRNA-Thr". It matches the Rfam family "tRNA". From Rfam's summary of the family: Transfer RNA (tRNA) molecules are approximately 80 nucleotides in length. The record is from RNAcentral. Lineage: Bacteria; Candidatus Sumerlaeota.